RNAcentral lists this ribosomal RNA (489 nucleotides) under uncultured bacterium. RNAcentral's name for it is "bacterial SSU rRNA". It matches the Rfam family "Bacterial small subunit ribosomal RNA", at positions 30 to 511 of the family's 1533-position model. The record is from RNAcentral.
AUUGAACGCUGGCGGCAGGCUUAACACAUGCAAGUCGAGCGGAGUUGUGGUGCUUGCACCAUAACUUAGCGGCGGACGGGUGAGUAAUGCUUAGGAAUCUGCCUAUUAGUGGGGGACAACAUUUCGAAAGGAAUGCUAAUACCGCAUACGCCUACGGGGAAGGCAGGGGAGUCUUCGGACCUUGUGCUAAUAGAUGAGCCUAAGUCGGAUUAGCUAGUUGGUGGGGUAAAGGCCUACCAAGGCGACGAUCUGUAGCGGGUCUGAGAGGAUGAUCCGCCACACUGGGACUGAGACACGGCCCAGACUCCUACGGGAGGCAGCAGUGGGGAAUAUUGGACAAUGGGGGCGAACCCUGAUCCAGCCAUGCCGCGUGUGUGAAGAAGGCCUUUUGGUUGUAAAGCACUUUAAGCGAGGAGGAGGCUCCUAUAGUUAAUACCUAUAGAGAGUGGACGUUACUCGCAGAAUAAGCACCGGCUAACUCUGUGCCAG